AUUGCAAUUAACACUAAUCCCUAUUAGGGAUUGAAAC
Non-coding RNA from Nostoc sp. PCC 7524, 37 nucleotides. The record is from Rfam. Lineage: Bacteria; Bacillati; Cyanobacteriota; Cyanophyceae; Nostocales; Nostocaceae.